AAAUAGACUAAAGCGAGCUUCUAACUCACUAAUUAAUAGAAAUAAAAUCUAUUCUAUUUU
This 60-nucleotide transfer RNA is filed under the name Tetraponera aethiops. Its description in RNAcentral is "tRNA-Ser". Lineage: Eukaryota; Metazoa; Arthropoda; Insecta; Hymenoptera; Formicidae. The record is from RNAcentral.